This 369-nucleotide unclassified non-coding RNA is filed under the name soil metagenome. RNAcentral describes it as "partial contains 5.8S ribosomal RNA, internal transcribed spacer 2, and large subunit ribosomal RNA". The stretch from base 1 to 120 matches the Rfam family "5.8S ribosomal RNA", at positions 35 to 154 of the family's 154-position model. The record is from RNAcentral.
GAUGAAGAACGUAGUGAAAUGCGAUAAGUAAUGUGAAUUGCAGAAUUCAGUGAAUCAUCGAAUCUUUGAACGCACAUUGCGCCCGCCAGCACUCUGGCGGGCAUGCCUGUUCGAGCGUCAUUUCGACCAUCAGGCCCUCCGGGCUUGUGUUGGGGCUCCCUGCGGCUGUCCGCAGGCCCUGAAAACCAGUGGCGGGCUUGCAAAGUCACACCGAGCGCAGUAGAUUUUUUUCAUCUCGCUCAGGGCGUGCGUGCGGGCGCCGGCCGUAAAAGACGAGAGCGCGGCCUCGGCCGCCCACAAAUACCACAAGGUUGACCUCGGAUCAGGUAGGAAUACCCGCUGAACUUAAGCAUAUCAAUAAGCGGAGGA